CAAUAGCGUAUAUUAAAGUUGUUGCAGUUAAAAAGCUCGUAGUUGGAUUUCUGGUGGGAGCGAUCGGUCUGGCGCUUAGCGCGAGUACUUGCAUCGUCUCCGGCCAUCCUUGGGGAGAGUCUGUCUGGCAUUAGGUUGUCGGGCAGAGGAUCCUCAUCGUUUACCGUGAAAAAAUUAGAGUGUUCAAAGCAGGCUUAUGCCGUUGAAUAUAUUAGCAUGGAAUAAUAAGAUAGGACUUUGGUACUAUUUUGUUGGUUUGCGCACCAAAGUAAUGAUUAAUAGGGACAGUUGGGGGUAUUCGUAUUCCGUUGUCAGAGGUGAAAUUCUUGGAUUUACGGAAGACGAACUACUGCGAAAGCAUUUACCAAGGAUGUUUNCAUUA
Molecule: ribosomal RNA, 382 nt
Filed under: uncultured eukaryote
Lineage: Eukaryota
Description: partial 18S ribosomal RNA
Rfam family: Eukaryotic small subunit ribosomal RNA
Source: RNAcentral